CCUCGGGAGGCAGCAGUAAGGAAUAUUGCCCAAUGGGCGAAAGCCUGAGGCAGCGACGCCGCGUGGGCGAUGAAGGCCUUCGGGUCGUAAAGCCCUUUUCUGGGGGACGAGCAAGGACGGUACCCCAGGAAUCAGCGCCGGCGAACUACGUGCCAGCAGCCGCGGUAAAACGUAGGGCGCGAGCGUUAUCCGGAUUCACUGGGCGUAAAGCGCGUUGAGGCGGCUCCGUAAGUUGGGCGUGAAAGCCCCGGGCUUAACCCGGGGAGGCCGUCCAAUACUGCGGGGCUUGAGGGCAGCAGAGGGAGGUGGAAUUCCCGGUGUAGUGGUGAAAUGCGUAGAUAUCGGGAGGAACACCCGUGGCGAAGGCGGCCUCCGGGGCUGCUCCUGACGCUGAAGGCGAAAGCCGGGGGAGCGAACGGGAUUAGAUACCCCUGUAGU
Molecule: ribosomal RNA, 438 nt
Filed under: uncultured Anaerolineae bacterium
Lineage: Bacteria; Bacillati; Chloroflexota; Anaerolineae
Description: partial 16S ribosomal RNA
Rfam family: Bacterial small subunit ribosomal RNA
Source: RNAcentral